AACGAACGCUAGCGGCAUGCCUAACACAUGCAAGUCGAACGAGACCUUCGGGUCUAGUGGCGCACGGGUGCGUAACGCGUGGGAACCUGCCCUUAGGUUCGGAAUAACUCCCCGAAAGGGGUGCUAAUACCGGAUAAUGUCUUCGGACCAAAGAUUUAUCGCCUUUGGAUGGGCCCGCGUUGGAUUAGCUAGUUGGUAGGGUAAAAGCCUACCAAGGCGACGAUCCAUAGCUGGUCUGAGAGGAUGAUCAGCCACACUGGGACUGAGACACGGCCCAGACUCCUACGGGAGGCAGCAGUGGGGAAUAUUGGACAAUGGGCGAAAGCCUGAUCCAGCAAUGCCGCGUGAGUGAUGAAGGCCUUAGGGUUGUAAAGCUCUUUUACCCGGGAUGAUAAUGACAGUACCGGGAGAAUAAGCGCCGGCUAACUCCGCG
Molecule: ribosomal RNA, 433 nt
Filed under: uncultured bacterium
Lineage: Bacteria
Description: partial 16S ribosomal RNA
Rfam family: Bacterial small subunit ribosomal RNA
Source: RNAcentral